GUCACAUGGUGGGCGCUGUGGCUGCGGCUGCGGCUGCAGCGGCCCCAGGUGCAAACAGACUGCCGCCGAAUGUGAGCAGCGAGGCGAGGGGUCGAGGUAGCGAGGAGUCAGGGUGGCCCGCAGCAGGAAGACAGAAGGCGUGGAGACAGACUGGCGUUUUGCCUCAGAGGAAGAAGUGGGGUCCCCUCUCCCAUUCUGUGAGCAAGUGCCAGUUCCAGUGAUUCGUACUUUCAUGUCCGAGGAACAAAAGCUCAGACCGCUGAGAUGUUCACUCUGCACUUUCAGCAGCACUCACAUUGAGAUAUGAGAAGACUGCAACAAGAACAAAAGGGUUGUGCCACCUCCUUUGGAUGUGAAGAGGAUGUGCUGACACGUGUGCUCGGGAGCCAGACUUUGUGGCCUUGGGGAAAGGACUGAAUAUUUCUGUGCUUCGUCGUUUGCAUCUGUGGAAUGCAGAGAUGACAAGGAAAAUCUUCAUUACCAUUUCAAGAACUGGGAACAAAGAAAAAUCCCGUUCCAGGACGCAAAGGAGGAGAUGCGGGUAGCUGAACAGAAACUUUUGAAGAUUACCAUGGGAAUACACCUGUGAACUUCCAGGUUUGAUCUCAGUUACUCCCUUACUUGAAGAAGGCUUCGAUGAUUCCUCAUGGAGAAAUCCCAGAUACUUCUGCACAUGAUUCAGAGGUCAAGAUGAUUGGCCCCUCGGCCUUCACAUAUGCUGUUCCCUCUGCUGUUCCCCAUGCUGCCCCCAGGGAGCUGCCCAUCACCCGCCAGGACCUUCCUGCCCUGGGUGCACCCAUAGUGCUUUGUGCCUUUCUCUUUCUUGCCACUUGCCACAUUUUACUGUAGUUAUUUGUUUAUAAUUACAAAUAUAAACCUGC
Molecule: long non-coding RNA, 881 nt
Organism: Homo sapiens (human)
Lineage: Eukaryota; Metazoa; Chordata; Mammalia; Primates; Hominidae
Gene: DLX2-DT
Product: DLX2 divergent transcript
Source: Ensembl